Long non-coding RNA from Daphnia pulicaria, 891 nucleotides. RefSeq lists it as uncharacterized. The record is from RefSeq and is a predicted model, not a curated record. Lineage: Eukaryota; Metazoa; Arthropoda; Branchiopoda; Diplostraca; Daphniidae. The transcript is spliced from 3 exons.
AGACACUGAGCAGAAAGGUACAGUUACUUCUGUGUGUGUUUUUUCCAUAGUUUUUUCCUGACAUAUUUCGUGGGUGUUAAAACUGUUAUCCAUUUUCCCAAAAUGUCUCUUGCUCGUUUCGUCACAUGCGGAACACUUUCAGAACAAUUGAACCAGGUGAGGUGAAGUCUGCAGUUCUUUGUUGCAGUCUAAUGUGCACAUGGAUUGGUUGCAGUCAAACAGUAAAAGUUGUGAAUAAACUGAGCUGUUGCAUGCAGUCUUUGGUGCUGAUGUUGUCCUGGAGUGUGGGGGAGUUCCAUGCUUCAAGUCUUAUGGGAUCAGCCAUAUCUGGUUGACGCUGGAUCAUGCUGCAUUUUGGUUGCCAAAAUGUUAGACAUCUAGUAGAACUGCAAGAAACCUUCUUGAAAUGGUUUAUGUUUACGUAGCAGUGAUGUUGCUGUCCAAUAUGGCCUGCUGUUGCAGCCUAUACUGGUGAAAGAUUUUUUGCAUCGAGUUAAACUGUUGCUGUUCCUUGGUGUUGGACUGCUGGUGUUGUGCAGAAAAGUUACAUCCAGUUUUAAUUGUUAUUUGUGUCUAUACAGUUAACUGUUUAUAUGUUGAAAAGGAACAGAAACAGUUCCUUGGUGUUGAAUCGCUGGUGUUGUGCUACAGAAGUUACAUCCAGUAUUUUUUAUCUAAUUGCUAUUUGCGUUUAUGAAGUUAACCGUUUAUAUGCUGAGAAUGAAAAAAACAAAUAGUAACACGGGGAAUUUUUACGUUGAACAAAUAAUAAACAUGCCUUCGCGAUUGGGAAAUCAACGAGGAGAUUGGGUAGGGGGUAUUUUUAUUUUCAUUAACUAAAAGUUGUGGUUUGUUUUAAUGAGCUAGUAAUAAAAUCCUUUGUUAAUCACA